Molecule: long non-coding RNA, 588 nt
Organism: Telopea speciosissima
Lineage: Eukaryota; Viridiplantae; Streptophyta; Magnoliopsida; Proteales; Proteaceae
Exons: 2
Source: RefSeq, a predicted model, not a curated record
UACUAUGGGGCCACGAUUCAUACUGGUGUUUGUGGGCUGUGAUUGGUUGUAGGUUAAUUUGUCAUGUGUUUAUGAUGUAGCAGGCAGUCUUAGGGUUCAAGCAUUCUAUAUUCAUAUUACUAGAAUGGUGAAAAUAAUUUAAGGAUAAACAUAUGCAGAAAUCAAGUUGGUUUUUUGAUUCAGUUCUGGAUUAUAUCAAACAUGCCGUUAGUAGCAGUGAUGUCCUUGGCUUAUGAACUGAGAAACUAGGGAGAUACUGGGGUUAUGAAGUUUUUGGGAAAAGCUAAGGUUGAUGCUGCUAUUGGAUAAUGGGAAAUUGCUGGGAAGGGUGUUUUGAAAGAAACCGUGAAGAAGUAGAAGACAUUGUUGAUAAGUUUAGUUCCAGGUGGUUUCCGAAUUGGAUAUAUCCCUAAGGAGAAUGGGGACGUUCGGGACACCUAAGCAGAUUGUGUUCUACAAUUCAGGGGCAUUGUUUGAUCUGGCCUCACUAGAGGGGGCUGAGAUUUCCGGUGAUUGCGAAGCCACUUGUGGCUGAUGCUAGUGCCAAGUCGCACAAGAUGUUACUCGUGUUCAACCGUGAUGGGUUGA